Bubalus bubalis (water buffalo) is the source of this 593-nucleotide long non-coding RNA. RefSeq lists it as uncharacterized. The transcript has 5 exons. NCBI's taxonomy places the organism in Eukaryota, Metazoa, Chordata, Mammalia, Artiodactyla, Bovidae. The record is from RefSeq and is a predicted model, not a curated record.
ACGUGAUGCACGUACCGCUGCCGGCGGGCGGCGUGAUGACGCAAGGAGACUGUGCGCAGCUGCAGACAUGUGUGAUCGCGGUGGUGAGGGUACUCCUGGACGUUGUUACCAUCCACUGCCAUCGAGGGUGCCAGCUGGUGCCUGCGACCUGCUGAGUACAGGUGGACGACCCUCGGCUCCUCCGCAGCAGAGCUCCUGUAAGAUGCGCUGUGCAAGCGUUGAACACGCCCGUCUCCUGAAGUUGCUGUCAGAGGCACUUCUCGGCACCUCCCCCAACCCAGCAGACUCUGCACUGUGUUCCUGCUCCAGCUUCAGCAGCAGACAUCCCAGGAUGUGAGAGCUAGAAGAGACUUGAAAGGCGAUCCCUUCCGUGGAUGAUAGAUUAUUCCAGGGAAUCUGCAGUGGAGUCAGGAGUUUCUGGUUCUUGGCCCAGCUGCCAUGUGCACGUCUGACUGACCUCUGACCCCAGGUUUGGAUGCCAUAUUGUCUACUUCCAGAACAAGGAUCUUCGCUAUACAUCGGUACCCAGGCCCCUCUGACAUCUCCUGAAUGAGAAGCGAUAUUUAAUAAAACAGUUUAAAAUUUGUAAUUCA